This 233-nucleotide unclassified non-coding RNA is filed under the name Lilium humboldtii subsp. ocellatum. RNAcentral describes it as "ITS 2". The record is from RNAcentral. Lineage: Eukaryota; Viridiplantae; Streptophyta; Magnoliopsida; Liliales; Liliaceae.
CUUGUUUUACUCUGUGCCCAUGCUCCUUCGGGGGCGGCUAUGGAUGCGGAUAUUGGUCCUCCGUGCCUCAUAUGCGGUGGGCUUAAGCGGGGGCUGUCGGUGUCGGGAUGGAUACAAUGAGUGGUGGACGGAGCACCAGCAGGAUGUCGUGGUCCCCCGUCACCUUAAGGGGCUCAAGAGACCCGAACUAGGCGAGCCGUGCUCCGUACGAGGAGGGAGAGCUGUCUCACAAU